RNAcentral lists this ribosomal RNA (130 nucleotides) under Pteropus alecto (black flying fox). The record is from RNAcentral. Lineage: Eukaryota; Metazoa; Chordata; Mammalia; Chiroptera; Pteropodidae.
GUCUACGGCCAUACAACCCUGAACAUGCCUGAUCUUGUCUGAUCUCAGAAGCUAAGCAGGAUCGGGCUUAGUACUUCGAUGGUUAGUACUUCGAUGGAAGACCACCUAGGAAUACCAGAUGCUGUAGGUG